CACACACACACACACACACACACACACACACACACACACACACACAUACACAUACACACACACUGGACACACAUUCAAACACACACACUGGACAAACACUGGACACACACACACACACACACUGGAAACACACUCACACACACACUGGAAACACACUCUCUCUCACACUCACACACACCAGCUAAUUCCUGUAAAUCCACAGAACUAUAAUAUAAAUGGCUCACACACACUUCAAUGGAACAUGUUAAUUGUAUGUGUCCACAUAACUGAGUAUGUCACUAAGCUUGUGAAACUGUCCUGUUAUAAUGUCCUGUUUUGGGAAGUAUAAUCCUAUGUUGCAAACCAGCUGACUCCUGUGUCCUUGUAUAGAUUUAAAGGGAAGGUAGAGUCCAACCAGCUGACUCCUGUGUCCUUGUAUAGAUUUAAAGGGAAGGUAGAGUCCAACCAGCUGACUCCUGUGUCCUUGUAUAGAUUUAAAGGGAAGGUAGAGUCAGACCAGCUGUCUCCUGUGUCCUUGUAUAGAUAAACAGGGAAGGUAGAGUCCAACCAGCUGUUUCCUGUGUCCUUGUAUAGAUAAACAGGGAAGUGAGAGUCCUGCCCAAGAACAGAUCAAGAUAUAAAGAUAUGUGCUGAUCACACAAUGCUUCUGAAUUCAGACUGUCUACGCUGUGGAACUCUGUUAUUCUCUCUGAGAUCACAAUGCUUCUGAAUUCAGACUGUCUACACUGUGGAACUCUGUUAUUCUCUCUGAGAUCACAAUGCUUCUGUAUUCAGACUGUCUACACUGUGGAACUCUGUUAUUCUCUCUGAGAUCACAAUGCUUCUGAAUUCAGUCUGUCUACGCUGUGGAACUCUGUUAUUCUCUCUGAGAUCACAAUGCUUCUGAAUUCAGACUGUCUACACUGUGGAACUCUGUUAUUCUCUUUGAGAUCACAAUGCUUCUGAAUUCAGACUGUCUACGCUGUGGAACUCUGUUAUUCUCUGAGAUCACAAUGCUUCUGAAUUCAGACUGUCUACACUGUGGAACUCUGUUAUUCUCUGAGAUCACAAUGCUUCUGUAUUCAGACUGUCUACACUGUGGAACUCUGUUAUUCUCUGAGAUCACAAUGCUUGUGAAUUCAGACUGUCUACACUGUGGAACUCUGUUAUUCUCUGAGAUCACACUGCUUCUGAAUUCAGACUGUCUACACUGUGCUGUUGAACUGUUAUUCUCUCUGAGCUCAUAAAUAAACAUUCUGGGUUUGA
Salmo salar (Atlantic salmon) is the source of this 1245-nucleotide non-coding RNA. The record is from RefSeq and is a predicted model, not a curated record. Lineage: Eukaryota; Metazoa; Chordata; Actinopteri; Salmoniformes; Salmonidae.